AAAUAUGUUUCCCAGAAAUCGGUCAAAAUAAAAAUUGAAAUUUUCCGGAAAAUCUUGUUUGACUUGGGAACCAUUUGGCGCCCCUCUGAGAGUAGCGCCCGGGGCAUGAUAAACCCCCUUGCACCCCCUUCGCUACGCCACUGCUCCAUCAUUGUUGGACUUCGCUUUAACAUCCAUGCAUGGUCCAAAAUUUGAAAUUCUUCAAGAUCUUGUUUCUGAUCAUCUUCCACUGAUUGUCUUCCUUCCUCUGGGAAGAAUCCCUUUGGGAGAGGAUCAUUUUUGUUAUAGAAAUACAAAAAAUUUAGUAGCUAUUUCUAAAUUCAAUAAUGCUUUAAAAUCCGCAUUUAGUUGGGAUUACUUAUACAAAUUAAAAGAUGUCCAUCAGGCUGUG
RNAcentral lists this long non-coding RNA (391 nucleotides) under Androctonus crassicauda. Lineage: Eukaryota; Metazoa; Arthropoda; Arachnida; Scorpiones; Buthidae. The record is from RNAcentral.